AAGUCGUAACAAGGUUUCCGUAGGUGAACCUGCGGAAGGAUCAUUAACACGUAUCCACGUAUCAAACUCAACCGUGCACCUAAACCUUCCCUCUCAACCGGUCAACGGUUCGAUCCAGUGUCCAUGAUGGGUGUGAUUCGUCACACGGCACUGUCGAACUACCGAGCCUUUGCAGCUCGAACGUUUUCCGGUCGGUAGGCUAAACCCCUUUUUAGCUUCAUCCCAUCAUCUUCUUUCUAUUAUGAGAGAUGGUGGCGAUGGAGAUAAGAAACCCUAUUCACCCCUUCAACACAUUUGACUGAUGCGCAGAGAGAUAGCGAAAGCUAUCUUCUACUGAGAUUUUAUCUAAACUAAGCACAACUCUUAGCAAUGGAUAUCUUGGUUCUC
This 387-nucleotide unclassified non-coding RNA is filed under the name fungal sp. RNAcentral describes it as "partial internal transcribed spacer region". The stretch from base 1 to 46 matches the Rfam family "Eukaryotic small subunit ribosomal RNA", at positions 1786 to 1831 of the family's 1831-position model. Lineage: Eukaryota; Fungi. The record is from RNAcentral.